RNAcentral lists this microRNA precursor (205 nucleotides) under Oryza rufipogon (brownbeard rice). RNAcentral's name for it is "MIR812 microRNA precursor family". It matches the Rfam family "MIR812 microRNA precursor family". Lineage: Eukaryota; Viridiplantae; Streptophyta; Magnoliopsida; Poales; Poaceae. The record is from Rfam by way of RNAcentral.
AAUGUUUGACGCCGUUGACUUUUUUAAAAAUGUUUGACCGUUCGUCUUAUUCAAAACAUUUAAGUAACUAUUAAUUCUUUUUCUAUCAUUUGAUUUAUUAUUAAAUAUAUUUUUAUGUAUAUAUAUAGUUUUACACAUUUCACAAAAGUUUUUAAAUAAGACGAACGGUCAAACAUGUUUAAAAAAGUCAACGGCGUCAAACAUU